UGGCUCAGAUUGAACGCUAGCGGGAUGCCUUACACAUGCAAGUCGAACGGCAGCACGGACUUCGGUCUGGUGGCGAGUGGCGAACGGGUGAGUAAUGUAUCGGAACGUGCCUAGUAGCGGGGGAUAACUACGCGAAAGCGUAGCUAAUACCGCAUACGCCCUACGGGGGAAAGCAGGGGAUCGUAAGACCUUGCACUAUUAGAGCGGCCGAUAUCGGAUUAGCUAGUUGGUGGGGUAACGGCUCACCAAGGCGACGAUCCGUAGCUGGUUUGAGAGGACGACCAGCCACACUGGGACUGAGACACGGCCCAGACUCCUACGGGAGGCAGCAGUGGGGAAUUUUGGACAAUGGGGGAAACCCUGAUCCAGCCAUCCCGCGUGUGCGAUGAAGGCCUUCGGGUUGUAAAGCACUUUUGGCAGGAAAGAAACGUCGUGGGUUAAUACCCCGCGAAACUGACGGUACCUGCAGAAUAAGCACCGGCUAACUACGUGCCAGCAGCCGCGGUAAUACGUAGGGUGCAAGCGUUAAUCGGAAUUACUGGGCGUAAAGCGUGCGCAGGCGGUUCGGAAAGAAAGAUGUGAAAUCCCAGAGCUUAACUUUGGAACUGCAUUUUUAACUACCGAGCUAGAGUGUGUCAGAGGGAGGUGGAAUUCCGCGUGUAGCAGUGAAAUGCGUAGAUAUGCGGAGGAACACCGAUGGCGAAGGCAGCCUCCUGGGAUAAC
RNAcentral lists this ribosomal RNA (723 nucleotides) under uncultured Achromobacter sp. RNAcentral's name for it is "bacterial SSU rRNA". It matches the Rfam family "Bacterial small subunit ribosomal RNA", at positions 20 to 738 of the family's 1533-position model. The record is from RNAcentral. Lineage: Bacteria; Pseudomonadati; Pseudomonadota; Betaproteobacteria; Burkholderiales; Alcaligenaceae.